This 253-nucleotide ribosomal RNA is filed under the name uncultured bacterium. RNAcentral's name for it is "partial 16S ribosomal RNA". It matches the Rfam family "Bacterial small subunit ribosomal RNA", at positions 524 to 776 of the family's 1533-position model. The record is from RNAcentral.
UACGUAGGGGGCAAGCGUUGUCCGGAUUUAUUGGGCGUAAAGAGCGUGUAGGCGGCCUGACAGGUCUGCUGUGAAAACUCGAGGCUCAACCUCGAGAUGUCGGCGGAAACCGUCUGGCUAGAGUCCGGAAGAGGAGAGUGGAAUUCCUGGUGUAGCGGUGGAAUGCGCAGAUAUCAGGAGGAACAUCCGUGGCGAAGGCGGCUCUCUGGGACGGUACUGACGCUGAGACGCGAAAGCGUGGGGAGCGAACAGG